RNAcentral lists this ribosomal RNA (468 nucleotides) under uncultured bacterium. RNAcentral's name for it is "partial 16S ribosomal RNA". It matches the Rfam family "Bacterial small subunit ribosomal RNA", at positions 28 to 507 of the family's 1533-position model. The record is from RNAcentral.
GACGAACGCUGGCGGCGUGCUUAACACAUGCAAGUCGAACGGAAAGGCCCUGCUUUUGUGGGGUGCUCGAGUGGCGAACGGGUGAGUAACACGUGAGUAACCUGCCCUUGACUUUGGGAUAACUUCAGGAAACUGGGGCUAAUACCGGAUAGGAGCUCCUGCUGCAUGGUGGGGGUUGGAAAGUUUCGGCGGUUGGGGAUGGACUCGCGGCUUAUCAGCUUGUUGGUGGGGUAGUGGCUUACCAAGGCUUUGACGGGUAGCCGGCCUGAGAGGGUGACCGGCCACAUUGGGACUGAGAUACGGCCCAGACUCCUACGGGAGGCAGAAGUGGGGAAUAUUGCACAAUGGGCGGAAGCCUGAUGCAGCAACGCCGCGUGCGGGAUGACGGCCUUCGGGUUGUAAACCGCUUUCGCCUGUGACGAAGCGCGAGUGACGGUAAUGGGUAAAGAAGCACCGGCUAACUACGUG